This 104-nucleotide small nuclear RNA is filed under the name Propithecus coquereli (Coquerel's sifaka). Lineage: Eukaryota; Metazoa; Chordata; Mammalia; Primates; Indriidae. The record is from RNAcentral.
GUGCUUGCUCCGGCAGCACGUAUACUAAAAUCGGAACAAUAAAGAAAUUAGCAUGGGCCCUGCACAAGGAUGACACACAAAUUCGUGAAGCGUUCCACAAUCAA